UGAGUUGCUGGCUUCUUAGUGUUUC
Molecule: non-coding RNA, 25 nt
Filed under: Rattus norvegicus (Norway rat)
Lineage: Eukaryota; Metazoa; Chordata; Mammalia; Rodentia; Muridae
Source: RNAcentral